RNAcentral lists this ribosomal RNA (393 nucleotides) under Ehrlichia canis. RNAcentral describes it as "bacterial SSU rRNA". It matches the Rfam family "Bacterial small subunit ribosomal RNA", at positions 64 to 484 of the family's 1533-position model. The record is from RNAcentral. Lineage: Bacteria; Pseudomonadati; Pseudomonadota; Alphaproteobacteria; Rickettsiales; Anaplasmataceae.
GACAAUUAUUUAUAGCCUCUGGCUAUAGGAAAUUGUUAGUGGCAGACGGGUGAGUAAUGCGUAGGAAUCUACCUAGUAGUACGGAAUAGCCAUUAGAAAUGGUGGGUAAUUACUGUAUAAUCCCCGAGGGGGAAAGAUUUAUCGCUAUUAGAUGAGCCUACGUUAGAUUAGCUAGUUGGUGAGGUAAUGGCUUACCAAGGCUAUGAUCUAUAGCUGGUCUGAGAGGACGAUCAGCCACACUGGAACUGAGAUACGGUCCAGACUCCUACGGGAGGCAGCAGUGGGGAAUAUUGGACAAUGGGCGAAAGCCUGAUCCAGCUAUGCCGCGUGAGUGAAGAAGGCCUUCGGGUUGUAAAACUCUUUCAAUAGGGAAGAUAAUGACGGUACCUAUAA